CGUUCGCGUAGGCUGCCAGCGGCUCUGGAAACGUUGCGUGCAGCCAGAAUCAGCGGGAGGAGCGGCCGAGGUAUCGCGGUAUUUGGGGGCUGCCCCCGAGACACGCCUGCCGCGGAUCUUAAAUUCUGACAGAGCUGUAUGGAGCCCAGUUCUAGCAAGCUUCCAGGACCUGAAGUCACCAGACCCCACAUGGAAUCAAGGGCCACAUGUUCAGCUGCUGCUCCCUUGGAGAGACAGUUCCGAGUUCUCAUAGGUGUUACUGGGAGUGUUGCAGCCUUGAAGUUGCCUCUUCUAGUGUCAAGACUUUUGGAUAUUCCUGGCCUAGAAGUAGCAGUGGUCACAACUGAGAGGGCUAAACAUUUCUACAACCCCCAGGAUGUUCCUGUCACCCUCUACAGCGACGCUGAUGAAUGGGAGAUGUGGAAGUGCCGAUCCGAUCCAGUUCUCCACAUUGACCUGCGGAGAUGGGCAGACCUCAUGCUGGUGGCUCCUCUUGAUGCCAACACUCUGGGGAAGGUGGCCAGUGGCAUCUGUGACAACUUGCUUACCUGUGUCAUCCGGGCCUGGGACCGCAGCAAGCCCCUGCUCUUCUGCCCAGCAAUGAACACUGCCAUGUGGGAGCACCCCCUCACUGAGCAGCAGGUGUGCCAGCUCAAGGCCUUCGGCUAUGUCGAGAUCCCCUGUGUGGCCAAGAAGCUGGUCUGUGGAGACCAAGCCCAGAACCUCUCUAAACUGCUAUGGCUGCUGCUGAGCAAGAGGAGGAAGCCUUUGAGCAAGGCCCAGCCUCCACCCUGAACUGUCUCCAGCUCUUCCUCCACACAACUGAUGUGUCCCCCUGCAGCCUCCCCAUUGCCUCAGGACACUGUCCUGGACAAAGGCCAGCCCUGUUCUCAAGGCACUUCUGGUUCAGUGAGUAGCCAAAAGAGCAGAUAGACGAGCCCAGGGAGGAAGGGAUGGAGGCAUGCAGCAGAGGAGUCCCACCCAGGGGACAAGAGCACACUCCUCUUAUCAGCUUCUGGCGAAGGAGACUCGUAUGUUCUGAGCAUUGUGUGCCAGGCUCUUCCUGUUGCAUAUAUGACUGUACUUCAUCCAUCAUCUUGUGAGGCCACUGUGAAAGUAGCUCCACUCUAGGCAGGUACAGCCAAGAACAAAGGAUUCUCUCUACCUUCAGUAUCCAGUUGAGAGCUACAGUAUCUCUCUGGGAGUGGCAGACCACCAGCAUUUCUCAUCUUCCUCACCUCUGUGUGUUGCAGCAGCUCUAUUCCAGGUAAGAGUAGCUGAGAGGACUGAGGCUCUCUUCCUCAACCCAUUCCCAACUCAUAGGGUGGAACUUCUAUUCUAGGCAUGAAAGCCUGAGGAUACUGAGGUCCUGAUCUCCCUCCCUUGGCUUCUAAAGUGGAAGUUCCAUUCUGUGAGAGGCCAGCUUAGAAGACCAAAGUCUACUGCCCCAACCUUGUAAAGCAGGCAUGUCAUUCCAAGCCAUCAGCUUCAGAGCAGUGGCACAAAGGUUUUGUACAGAGAGAGAGAGGAAGUUCAUGAGAGGAAGUCCAUAAGAACAUAAGAACUCUGAUGUUCUCUCCAAGGGAACUGAAUUUAUUUGCAACAGAGUGUGCAGAAAUUCAAGCAUAUGGAGGCUCUCAAAAAUUAUGGAGAUAUUGUUGGUAUAUGCAAUUAAGGGAAUUCCGGUAGUGCUUUGAGAAAAAGAAGCUAAAAAUUAGACCAGCUCCAAGUUUGCCAGAGAGAAGCAGGCAAAGAGGUAGCUGAGAAGAGACCUCCUAAGGUCAGAAUAAACUUCAAAGACUGUCCUCAAAGACUGCUCCUGAAAAGGGGCUUAAUUUCACUGGAUCAGAUUGUGCAGCAAUUUAUGCCCCUGGGCAUUGUUGAAAAUAAUAAAGCAGUUAGUCAGCAAUUAGUGGAAGCUAGUAACUGGGUGUGAUACCAAUAGAGAUAGCUUAACAGAAAGAUUGAGGAAAUAGACAAAGAGGGCCCUUUUAAAACCAUUGUCAUCUCAGGGUGACAGUGCACCUAUCCAAGGUUCAGCCUUUUAGUAGUGAAAUCAAGAGACUACACACUGCAGGGGAAAUAAAAUUUCAAAAUAGUCCAGCCAGAUCACUAUGUGUGGGUAUGGGUGGGGGGAGGAGUUUGUGGCUAGUAUCCAGAGUUGCUGCAAUAUAUUAUCUAAAAUACUAACUUGGGAGUUCCCUUCAUGGCUCAGUGGUUAACGAUCCCAAUUAAGAUCCACGAGGAUACGGGUUCAAUCCCUGGCCUUGCUCAGUGGGUUAAGGAUCUGGCAUUUCUGUGAGCUGUGGUGUAGUUUGAAGACAAAGCUCGGAUCCCAUAUUGCUGUGGUUGUGGUGCAGGCCAGCAGCUGCAGCUCCAGUUGGGAACUUCCAUAUGCUGCAGAUGCAGCCCUAAAAAAGAAAAAAAAAAAUUGAAGAAAUAAUGGCUGAAAACUUCCCAAAUUUGAUGAAAAACAUUCAUCUGCAUAUCUAAAGCUCAAUGAACUCCAAGUAGGAUAAAUAUGAAGAGAUCCACACCAUAAAACAUUGCAUUAAACUUUUGAAAGUCAUAGACAGAUAAAAUCUUGAGAACAACAAGAGAAUAAUGACUUGUCCAAGGAAAGCUUAUCAUCAGAAACAGUGAAAGCCAGAAAGCAGAGGGAUGACAUAUUUGAAGUGCUGAAAGAAAAAAACUGUCAACCAAGAAUCAUAUAUUUAGCAAAACUAGCUUUCAAAAAUGAAAAUGAGGAGUUCCCAUUGAGGCUUGGUGGAUUAAGAACCCAACUAGUAUCCAUGAGGAUGUGGGUUCAAUCCUUGGCCUUGCUUAGAGUUGCCACAAGCUGUGGCGUAGUUUGCAGAUGCAACUCAGAUCUAGCGUUGCUGUGGCUGUGGUGUGGGCUGGCAACUGCAUCCCUGAUUUGACCCCUAGCCUGGGAACUUCCAUAUGCUGCAGGUGAGGACCCAAAAAUCAAAGAAAAAAAAAAAGAAAAACCUUUCCAAUAAAACAAAAAUUGAGAGAAUUCAUUGCUAGCAGACCUGUCUUACCAGAUAUAUUAAAGGAAGUUCUUCAGACUGAAAGCAUGUGACCUCAGACAGUAAUUCAAAACCAUAUGAAAAACAAAGAGUUCUGUUAAAAACAAUUAUGUAAUUAUAAAAGACAUUAUAAGUGUAAAUUUCUUCUUCUUUCUUAACUUAUUUAAAAAGCAGUUAUAAAAAGCAGUUAUAGAAAACAGUAUGUCUGUAAUUGUAUUGUUGGGUCUAUAACAUAUAAAAUGUAGUAUAUUUGACAAUAACAACAUGAGAUGGAUGAAAACAAAGCUGUAUUGGAGUAAUGAAGUGACAACAGAUUGUAACUUGGAUCCACAGGGACAAAUGAAGAGAACCAGAAUUGAUAAAUAAAAAACUGUAAAAAUA
This is an RNA transcript of Sus scrofa (pig), 3413 nucleotides long. It is a transcript of the gene named phosphopantothenoylcysteine decarboxylase, with no coding region annotated. The record is from RefSeq and is marked validated. NCBI's taxonomy places the organism in Eukaryota, Metazoa, Chordata, Mammalia, Artiodactyla, Suidae.